UACAGAGGUGGCAAGCGUUGUUCGGAAUUACUGGGCGUAAAGGGCGCGUAGGCGGCCUACUAAGUCAGACGUGAAAUCCCCCGGCUUAACCUGGGAACUGCGUCUGAUACUGGAUGGCUUGAGUUUGGGAGAGGGAUGCGGAAUUCCAGGUGUAGCGGUGAAAUGCGUAGAUAUCUGGAGGAACACCGGUGGCGAAGGCGGCAUCCUGGACCAACACUGACACUGAGGAGCGAAAGCCAGGGGAGCAAACGGG
This 253-nucleotide ribosomal RNA is filed under the name uncultured bacterium. Its description in RNAcentral is "partial 16S ribosomal RNA". It matches the Rfam family "Bacterial small subunit ribosomal RNA", at positions 524 to 776 of the family's 1533-position model. The record is from RNAcentral.